This is a non-coding RNA of Merluccius polli (Benguela hake), 81 nucleotides long. The record is from the annotation of a GenBank genome assembly. Lineage: Eukaryota; Metazoa; Chordata; Actinopteri; Gadiformes; Merlucciidae.
CGCAGGAUAGCCUCGUCGGUGGUCAGGGGUUUUUUCGACUCCCAUCCGAAAGACACUGGGUUCGAUCCCCGGUUUCCGCAG